Molecule: ribosomal RNA, 778 nt
Filed under: uncultured Neocallimastigales
Lineage: Eukaryota; Fungi; Neocallimastigomycota; Neocallimastigomycetes; Neocallimastigales
Description: partial large subunit ribosomal RNA
Rfam family: Eukaryotic large subunit ribosomal RNA
Source: RNAcentral
UAUCUCUGUAGAGUCUGCAUAUCAAUAAGCGGAGGAAAAGAAACUAACUAGGAUUCCCUUAGUAACGGCGAGUGAAGCGGGAAGAGCUCAAAUUUGAAAUCUUCAAGGUUCUACCUCGACGAAUUGUAGUUUAAAGAAGUGUUUUCUGUUGGUAGUUUUGGUAAAAGUUCUUUGGAAUAGGACAUCAUAGAGGGUGAGAAUCCCGUAUUUGACCAUUACUUUCCAGCGUUGUGAUACACUUUCAAAGAGUCGGAUUGUUUGGGAAUGCAGUCCAAAAUGGGUGGUAAAUUUCAUCUAAAGCUAAAUACUGGCGAGAGACCGAUAGCGAACAAGUACCGGUGAGGGAAAGAUGAAAAGGAACUUUGAAAAGAGAGUUAAACAGUACGUGAAAUUGUCAAAAGGGAAGCGUUUGACACCAGUGUUGUUUUCUCGAAAAUCAAUUAAAAAAGGCAGGAUUUUGUGUUGUAUUGACUUUAUCAGCUUUCUGCACUCUUUUCUUGUCUUUUUUAAUGCACUUUUCGUUUAACAAGUCAACAUCAAUUUCUUUUGUUGUAAAAGGGUCAUUGGAAGGUGGCUUUCUUUUCGGAGAAAGUGUCUAUAGCCUUUGGCCUCUGCAAUCGGAGAGAUUGAGGUCUGCAGCGUAGAUCCUUCGGGGUUAGAUACAUUUGUGCUAAGUUAUAGCCUUUCAUAGACAACUUGUUGACUAUGAUCAGUCAUGUAGCUUACUCGCUUAUGCUAUUUUACCUACGCUUAGGAUGUUGAAGUCAUCGUAUCGCGC